This 478-nucleotide ribosomal RNA is filed under the name uncultured bacterium. RNAcentral's name for it is "partial 16S ribosomal RNA". It matches the Rfam family "Bacterial small subunit ribosomal RNA", at positions 28 to 507 of the family's 1533-position model. The record is from RNAcentral.
GAUGAACGCUGGCGGCGUGCUUAACACAUGCAAGUCGAACGAGAAGUGAAGACGGAAACCUUCGGGCGGAAGGCUUUAUUUCGAGUGGCGGACGGGUGAGUAACGCGUGGGUAACCUGCCUCAUACAGGGGGAUAACAGUUGGAAACGACUGUUAAUACCGCAUAAGACCACAGCACCGCAUGGUGCGAGGGUAAAAACUCCGGUGGUAUGAGAUGGACCCGCGUUCGAUUAGCCAGUUGGCGGGGUAACGGCCCACCAAAGCGACGAUCGAUAGCCGAUCUGAGAGGAUGACCGGCCACAUUGGGACUGAGACACGGCCCAAACUCCUACGGGAGGCAGCAGUGGGGAAUAUUGCACAAUGGGGGAAACCCUGAUGCAGCGACGCCGCGUGAGUGAAGAAGUAUUUCGGUAUGUAAAGCUCUAUCAGCAGGGAAGAAAAUGACGGUACCUGAGUAAGAAGCCCCGGCUAACUACGUG